This is an RNA transcript of Elaeis guineensis (African oil palm), 1272 nucleotides long. It is a transcript of the gene named vacuolar protein sorting-associated protein 28 homolog 1, with no coding region annotated. The record is from RefSeq and is a predicted model, not a curated record. NCBI's taxonomy places the organism in Eukaryota, Viridiplantae, Streptophyta, Magnoliopsida, Arecales, Arecaceae.
UUCCUCCGCUCCGUUUCUCUUUGGUGUUCUUUUCUUUUCUUCUCCUUUCUUUUGUUCCCUAUUCUGGCCCCCAGUUUUCCCUUCCCUUCUUCCUUCGCGCUGCUUCGCCUUCUGCGAGGUUUCUUAGGACGAGGAAACGUUAUCCUAAUCCUAGUGCGAUCAAUCCGUUCGAAAGAGAUAGCCCGGUCGCCGUUCAAGAAACCUACUCCUCCCACCCCCAAACCCUAAUCCCCCGUCGGAGCGACCGAUCCAGCCCCGGCCGCCGCCGACACGAUGGAGGUGAAGCUCUGGAACGACAAGCGGGAGCGCGAGAUGCUCGACAGCUUCGCCGAUCUCUACGCCAUCAUCAAGACCACGGAGAAGCUGGAGAAGGCGUACGUGCGCGACCUCGUUUCCUCCGCCGAGUACGAGGCGGAGUGCCUCAAGCUCAUCGCCCAAUUCAAGACCCUCUCCUCCUCCCUCCGCGAAGCCGUCCCCUCCGUCGAACGCUUCGCCGAGGCCUACAAGAUGGACUGCCCCGCCGCCCUCAACCGCCUCCUCGUCUCCGGCGUCCCUGCCACCGUCGAGCACCGCGCCUCCUCCGCCUCCUCGGCCGCGUCCUCUGCCGCCGCCGUCGCCGAGUGCGUCCAGCACUUCAUCACCGCCAUGGACUCCCUCAAGCUCAACAUGGUCGCCGUCGACCAGGUCCACCCCCUCCUCUCCGACCUCUCCUCCUCCCUCGCCAAACUUGGCGGCGGGAUCCUGCCCCCGGACUUCGAGGGGAGGGUCAAGGUCAGGGAGUGGCUCGCCAGGCUUGCGAAGAUGGGGGCCGCUGACGAGCUGACGGAGCAGCAGGCGAGGCAGCUCCACUUUGAUCUUGAAUCCUCCUACAACGCAUUCAUGGCUGCCCUUCCCAAUGCCGGGUCCUGAUCAUGACCUUGAUCAGCUCCCUCUCCAAAAUGUAGAACCCAGUUUUGGUAUUAGCAUUUAUGAAUUCUGUUGACCAUGCCUCAAGCAGUCAUUUUUGUUGUUGAGCCACCUGGGUGUAGGGGGAUUCAAGCGCAGGUGCUGAGAAGCAGACACUGGAUUGCAUGCACCUAAAGACUGCAAGUGGGAUUACAGAAACUUGUUACAAUGUGGGAAUGGAUGGUAGAUUAGGGAGGUGAAGUGCUGGAUGGUUUUUGAGUUGAUAUUUUAUGAAACAUAUAGGUACAGUUCAAAUUAUGGUCAUGUUAUUGUAUGAAUAACUUUUAAAAAAUAAAUAUUCAGAACAUAUCAUGAGUAUUUUUCAUA